GCCUGGGUGGCUCAGUUGGUUGAGUGUCUGACUUUGGCUCAGGUCAUGAUUUCGUGGUUCAUGGGUUCGAGCCCCACAUCAGGCU
This 85-nucleotide transfer RNA is filed under the name Felis catus (domestic cat). It matches the Rfam family "tRNA". From Rfam's summary of the family: Transfer RNA (tRNA) molecules are approximately 80 nucleotides in length. Their secondary structure includes four short double-helical elements and three loops (D, anti-codon, and T loops). Further hydrogen bonds mediate the characteristic L-shaped molecular structure. tRNAs have two regions of fundamental functional importance: the anti-codon, which is responsible for specific mRNA codon recognition, and the 3' end, to which the tRNAs corresponding amino acid is attached (by aminoacyl-tRNA synthetases). tRNAs cope with the degeneracy of the genetic code in two manners: having more than one tRNA (with a specific anti-codon) for a particular amino acid; and 'wobble' base-pairing, i.e. permitting non-standard base-pairing at the 3rd anti-codon position. Lineage: Eukaryota; Metazoa; Chordata; Mammalia; Carnivora; Felidae. The record is from Rfam by way of RNAcentral.